Molecule: long non-coding RNA, 462 nt
Organism: Juglans microcarpa x Juglans regia
Lineage: Eukaryota; Viridiplantae; Streptophyta; Magnoliopsida; Fagales; Juglandaceae
Exons: 2
Source: RefSeq, a predicted model, not a curated record
GGGGGGGGGGGGGGGGGGGGGGGGGGGGGUUGUGUUUGGAAGUCCAUAAAGUGCAUAAACAAAUGAUCAUCAGACUGUCAAACCUAUCACAUAACCACCAAAAAAUCCCUGAAAGGAAGUUUGGAGUAACACGAGGGCAUAGAUAGAGGCGAUACAUGUCAAUGACUAUUCUUCAUAGUAUUCUUCUACACACACAUUUAUAAUUUCCUUGCCUCAAAUGAACAAAUAAAGUCUGUGCAGGAAAAACUGAAGUCUUAAAAUUAUAAGCAUCAGCAAUGACUGAGGUCAUAUCUUACACAAAAUAAAUCGAAACUUAACCAAACAACUACAUGUCAAAAGGUAGCACACCUCCACAGAUGAUCAAAACCAACAUAUUUUUUCUCCAACUCCAAUUAAAAUGAACAGAUAAUUCCCAUCAUCUAAACUCAGAACACGGCAUACCACAUAGCCAAGCAUAUAAUU